UGCCCACUGAUAAUUAAUUAAAGGGCUGCAGUAUUUUGACUGUACAAAGGUAGCAUAAUCAUUAGUCAUUUAAUUGGUGACUUGUAUGAAAGAUUGGAUGAAAUAUAAACUGUCUUAAUUUUAAAAUUUAAAAUUUAAUUAUUUAGUUAAAAAGCUAAAAUAUAAAUAGAAAGACGAGAAGACCCUAUAGAGUUUAAUUUUAAUUUAGAUUAAUAAUAUUUUUUAUUAAGUUAAAUUAUAAUUUAUUUUAAAAUUUUGUUGGGGUGAUAAAAAAAUUUAAUUAACUUUUUUUUUUCAUUAACAUAAAUAAGUGAUUUUUUGAUCCAAUAAAUAUUGAUUAUAAGAAAAAAUUACCUUAGGGAUAACAGCGUAAUUUUUUUUUUUAGUUCUUAUAAAAAAGAGAGUUUGCGACCUCGAUGUUGGAUUAAGAUAAAAUUUAAAUGUAGAAGUUUAAAGUUUUGA
This 462-nucleotide ribosomal RNA is filed under the name Euproctis cf. ionthada M9. Its description in RNAcentral is "partial large subunit ribosomal RNA". The record is from RNAcentral. Lineage: Eukaryota; Metazoa; Arthropoda; Insecta; Lepidoptera; Erebidae.